Long non-coding RNA from Nomia melanderi (Alkali bee), 3783 nucleotides. RefSeq lists it as uncharacterized. The record is from RefSeq and is a predicted model, not a curated record. Lineage: Eukaryota; Metazoa; Arthropoda; Insecta; Hymenoptera; Halictidae.
UGGCGAUGAUCCGUUUGCGCGCCUAUUCCGCGACACAAUGGAACUAGAUUCGAGCCGGCUAAUGCACGCGGCACUCGCACAGACACUAUCUAGCUGCGUCGAUGCUGUCGCUGUCUUUGAUAAUAAGAUCUUCCCGGUGCAUCCGGCGCAUAUUAGGAAGCCGUCUGUGUUAUCUGUUGAAACGCGAUUACGCGGUCUCCUAUCUCCGUGCUUCGGCCUUGUUGUCCGUUUAAUUUUAGACUGUUCACGUAGUUCGGACACCUUUCUAUCGAUCGAGCUGUUCGGCGGGGAGGUAGUCAAAUUUCCAUAGAUUUCAGUAUAAUCUCUUUAUUCACAAUACUUUCGCGGUAACCAGGAUCUGGAACACGUAAUCACGCUCUUUCGAAUUAUUCGUGACGCUAUCUUGACCAUCCAAUCGGCCACUCUGUUAAGGCAAGGUCGUAUCACUGCAGACUACACGCGAGAUGUCAAUUUUAGUUAUACAACUAAUAAGUAUGGUUAUGAUAAUAUUGUACAAUUCAGUUGAUGGAGCAUUGUGUAUGAAAUACUUGCACUGUUAUUUCUUAGAGUAUGCUUCAUCGCGUUUCUUUAAAUCGUUUCUGAAUACAACAUUAAUAAUGUUGGAUCGAAUAUUCUCUAGCAAUGCUGUGUUCUUUUGAAAUGUCUUUUAGGCCAAGAAGUGUACAUUAUGGUUAGUGUCAGUUCGGAUCCUAUAGUGUCUUUGCUACUAACGCACAGUUAGGAUGUUCGUCCCCUAUCCUCUCGCUGAAUGUUUUUCCAUCGAAAUGGAACUCUUGGUAGCUGACUCUAGCCAGACUCUCGAAUCCGCAUUUUCUAGCGAUUUUCUGGGAGUAAUUGGAAGUCAUGAUGGCGGAUACUAUACUGGGCACCAAGGACAGGUUGUGUAUGUCAUCAUUGCCGUUGAUUUUGACUGGUGUCUUGACUAGUUUCCCUCUUUUCAGCUGUUUCGCUACUUCUAUCGACGUGGUCACUAGCGUCUCCCCUAUUCUUCGCUGCUGCUUGUCGGGCAGCGUUGCCAAGAACAUGAUCUCGAAGAUGCAGUCCGUGUUGUAGUGCUUGAAUAGGUUUAUUCGGGAGUCCACGUUGAUCAUGAAGUCCACUAGACAUUUAGACGCCUUGUGCUUGCAGUUUUCACUGAAGACCUCGAACGCAGUUUUCUCUGAUGCACUUCUGAGCACCUUAAGAAAAAGGAAGUAUAUUUAGUAUUUAUAUCAUUUCUGUUCACUUACAUUUUAUUUGCUUGAUAUUUUAAUAUAAUUAUUCUAAUAUAAUUAUAAUAAUUGUGUAUAGUUUGUAUAAUAUAUUAAUAUUAGAUGCAUGAUUUACAAUUUGUGUUAAUAAAAUAUUAAUUUAUUAUUGUGUAUUAUAUUAUAACUAUAGUAUAAUUUAUAUUGUCACGUCGAUACGGAUGUGAACUUCUUUCGUGUACAACCACAACCUCAUCAGAUCAUUCGAAUUGACUAAUCUACGAUUAUUCUUGUUCCUCAUAUUAUUCAACGUAAAAAUUGAUAAUAUUAUAUCUCGCGUGCAAAGCAGAAGCAAACGUACUAUAUUAUCAUUUCAAGUGUAAUAGAAAUGUCCUCUUCUAGCGUUUCAACUCUUUGACCUACAAUAUCUUGUGAGACUUGUGACGAAAAUUUGAAAUUGAAUUUGAUGAAACCAAUCGUUAUUUAACUUUUGAGAAUUUAAAUUAAGUAAUAAUUUUCUAUUAUCCGUCAUUAACCUUUUGAGUAAAUGUAAACGUAGAGUAAUCAUAAAAAUGUACCCUUCUCCUAAUAAAUUACUAACAUUAAAGUAAUUAUACCGAUCAUACUUAACAAGUCAAUCUUAAACUACGGUUGUCUUGCCUCCGUGUCAAUAUUAAUAUACUAUAAAAAUUACGAUAUAAUACAUUUUAAAAUAAGCGUGAAAAUAUAAUGUAAUAUAACGUAUAACAGUAAAUUAAUAUUUCAGUAACAGAAAUCGUCAUCAAUAAUAACCAUUAUACAACUGUAUGCUACCACAGAUUUUCUAUAUUAUCAUAAUCAAUUUUCCAAAUUAUUUGUUUUAGUACCUGAAUUUUGUUGAAUGCCACUCCAAUGACUUCCCCAGUGGUAAAAUCUGUGGCCACGACACUGACUCCAUCCUUGGCAGCAUCCAGACACAAUUCCUCAAGUUCUUUCGAUGCACCAACUUCUGCGGUCAAAGCUACACCUUUGCAGACGCUUUCGUUGAUGAAGAAGCUUUUCCUGAUGACAUCCAAAGCUCCUUCUAGAGUGUCUUCCGUCAGAGACUCGAACUCUAUAGCCCCAUCCUCUAUGGAGCCCCAGAGCCUGUACGGUGACAUUCUGUCUCCCCUGGAAUAAAGAUAAUCAGCUGACGAAAAUUUGUUUCAUAUACUAGAACGUAUUUCCGAUACUCCGCAAGGUCUUCAGAUACUGACGGUUACUUGUCAACUGAUCAUUAUGAGUAAUUCAGCACUGACUAUAGCCACAAGAGUUACGUGUAUCGAACGGAGGUUUUGAUUAUGUGAGUGUGCUAUCACUGGAGCACGGAGUGUCUUAUACGUAAACGAUUUUCGAGUGAAUUUCAACUGUUGGCGUUACUAUGUACUCUGGCGUCAAGAUUGAUUUGCCUGCGAGGCAUGGCUGAAGAAAGGGAGAACAUUCCAUGGGAUCGAAUGACCCCAUUGUGAUGGCUAACAAUCGGCAGAUAACGAAACGGUUGAAUAAAGAGCGGUAAAACAGAAACUCGAUACGCAUGUGGCAAGCGCCGAUCACUGCAUCACGUGGCCGUUUGGAAGGCCACGGCAACGCGAGAGAGCGUGGAAAUGCAACAUGGAUAAAUAUAGUUAUCUCAUAGUGAGCUGUACAGGCCACCAGUUUCUCUAAAGAUGUUCAGGCUUUAAUCAGCUCAGACUUUAAGACUACCUUGAGUGCCGGGUAUUUAAAAAUUUGUUACGGUUCAAUUUAAAUAAGACGUAACUAACGACUUCAUUACUGGCCUAAAAUGAUCUUUUAUAUGCAGAUAAGGACAAAUCUUUUCUUCGAUAAGGCGCAGACAAUUUCAAAACACUAAUCUGAACCCAGUCGCGGCGGGAAAUGUAUUUGAACGUGCUCCGUUUUGGUUACACAAGCACAAACAGUUAUGGUAUCUUAUUUUACUUGAUUCUAAGUGCAAAAACUUCAAGUGCAAUCAAAAGGAUUGUAGAAUUAUCGAGCUGCAUAAUUCCUAGAACUAGAUAUUACCGCUCUAUCAGUCGCGCAGGUGUAGUCUUAAAAAGAUUAAGGGAAGCUCUGUCGCUGAUAAAUUCACUUGGCAUCGAUAAUGUCACCGAAGCCUACGCCUGUCAAACUACCAGUCCAAGCUAUUCUUAGAAUUUGAAUAAAAUGCGAAUCUAUUGAAUUUGACGGAAAUACUGGCAAGAAUUUCGUAUUGACAAUUUGCGAUUAAUUACUUACAACGAUCCUGUUUAUUUAAAUGACAGUUGGUCAGAGACACUCGGUCGACAGCGUGACGACUAUGUUCUGGAGAACAGUCGGACGUUUUACAAUGUGAUACGCUGUUGCGUCUGCCUUUUUGUCCUACUCUAUCGCCUGGUGAAGUCCUUUUUCAAUCGGUACUUUUGAUACGAAUGUGUCAAGGUGCUUCCCAAUAGGACUUCACUAGAUUUACACAUCGUGCCAUUCUGUGCAACAAUACUCAUUGCAAAUGUUCCUAUGAACAUGACGAGGCCAUUGGUCUAGCCGACUGCACCAGGCUGUUCAACAAGAUAAUUGCAUA